GUAGGUGAACCUGCGGAAGGAUCAUCAUUGAAUCUAUAUUCUACAAACUCUUGUGAACUUGGCCAUUCUUUUAGGGGAGUGCGCCUGCAUGCUUAUGAGUCUGAUGUUGGCGGUGUCUGUGUAUGUACCGGCCGGUAUGGCUUGCACUGCAGCCCGCCAAUGUCACGAACUUUUAAUACAAACUCUGUUAAAAUCCAAAGCUAAUAAAAUUUAUGUGCAACAUAAAACAACUUUCAACAAUGGAUCUCUUGGCUCUC
This 257-nucleotide unclassified non-coding RNA is filed under the name rhizosphere metagenome. Its description in RNAcentral is "partial ribosomal RNA internal transcribed spacer region". The record is from RNAcentral.